AGCGCGCGAGCGCCGCUGUUUAAACUUCAACGGUUCACAGUGCGCUGAAUGCGCAGCGCUCGGGAGAACGACGAUUACAUUGUUAGCAACCCGUUUCUUUCAAGAAGCUUAAAGAAGAAAGGUGGUUUAUCGCGUUGUCCAGGCCCGCGCAAUUCUCCGCCGGGAGAUUGGACCUAUACAUAUACAGGUAAAGAUGAAACAAAGUUUCAGUCAAAUCGCCGUCAGACUGCCGUUAUAAACAUGAAUUCAAACCAAGAAGAACAAAGAGAGAAGCAGCUGAUGGAGAUGUUUCCAUUUUUUCUGUGGAUAACUAUGUUCAUCUAUCCCAGAGAGCACUGUUAAAGUUUUAGCUCCACCUUAUCAGAGAGCUGAAUAGUGGGAGUCAGAGGAAACAUGACCAACCUGCUGCAAAACAAUAACACAAAAGGUCUGGACUCUGGAGUGCAACAUUACUUGUUUGGUCAUCUACAUUCAGAUGAAAACACCACACUUCUCUCUAAUUCAAGAUGUCAAGCUCAACGCAAAGAGAGUUAGCAUCAAAAUGGAUGUGUCACUGACCAAUAACACAGAGAUGCCUUUUACCUCAAAAAGCCUUUCAAUCAUUACUAUUUAGCCCUUCCCAGUGCUGAAAUUGUCCUGGGUCCUUUGUUUUUAUUGUUUAAAUGCUUAUCUGAAUGUAAAAUUAAUAUUUAAUGCUUAUAAAUAAAUAAAAAAAACAAUACUAUGGUUAGUCUUUUAGCUCCCUUUUCAGAAACACGUGGUUCACCAUUUUUCAUGGGUUACAGAACUGGGGAAAGUUGCAGCAUACAAAAAAAAGUCAGACUACUUGGUUUAUAGGUUUAUAGGAGAAUGUGGAGUAAAUACUUGACAUUUAUUUAAGAUAAAGGCUAAUGACCUGGUGGUGAGAUGCAAAAUAAGAUUGUCAUUAAUAUACUAUUUGAUGACAAACUUUUCACAUUCUAAUUUUACUUAUGUAUUUAUUUAUUUUUUAAAUUAUUUGUGCAAGUUAACAUUCAAUUUUUUUUUUUUUUUUUUUGGUGGUGGUUCCUAGCAAUCAACAUAUACUGUAUUUGUGACUGACAUGUUGGAUGGGUGAGUAAGGUGGAGGGGAUUGAAAAAACAAUAUUUCUAAAAUGGAGAGUGCUGUUUUAGGUUGACAGGCAAAAAUAUAUAUAUUUUAAAAAAAGUAUAAAUAAAUAAAGAAACAUGGAUUUAUGUUAAUCCCUGUAACUGUUGCACUAUGAAUUGCUGUGUUAUAUAUUGCUUGUCAUUGUAAAUGCUAAUAAAAGUGUCUUAAAUGAUCACACAACUCCUUGAUGUCUUAUGCUUAUAGUUA
Long non-coding RNA from Onychostoma macrolepis, 1336 nucleotides. RefSeq lists it as uncharacterized. NCBI's taxonomy places the organism in Eukaryota, Metazoa, Chordata, Actinopteri, Cypriniformes, Cyprinidae. The record is from RefSeq and is a predicted model, not a curated record. The transcript has 6 exons.